This 468-nucleotide ribosomal RNA is filed under the name uncultured bacterium. Its description in RNAcentral is "partial 16S ribosomal RNA". It matches the Rfam family "Bacterial small subunit ribosomal RNA", at positions 28 to 507 of the family's 1533-position model. The record is from RNAcentral.
GACGAACGCUGGCGGCGUGCUUAACACAUGCAAGUCGAACGGAAAGGCCCUGCUUUUGUGGGGUGCUCGAGUGGCGAACGGGUGAGUAACACGUGAGUAACCUGCCCUUGACUUUGGGAUAACUCAAGGAAACUGGGGCUAAUACCGGAUAGGAGCUCUUGCUGCAGGGGGGGGGUUGGAAAGUUUGGGCGGUUGGGGAUGGACUCGCGGCUUAUCAGCUUGUUGGUGGGGUAGUGGCUUACCAAGGCUUUGACGGGUAGCCGGCCUGAGAGGGUGACCGGCCACAUUGGGACUGAGAUACGGCCCAGACUCCUACGGGAGGCAGCAGUGGGGAAUAUUGCACAAUGGGCGGAAGCCUGAUGCAGCAACGCCGCGUGCGGGAUGACGGCCUUCGGGUUGUAAACCGCUUUCGCCUGUGACGAAGCGUGAGUGACGGUAAUGGGUAAAGAAGCACCGGCUAACUACGUG